CUAUACUGUGAAACUGCGAAUGGCUCAUUAAAUCAGUUAUCGUUUAUUUGAUAGUACCUUACUACUUGGAUAACCGUGGUAAUUCUAGAGCUAAUACAUGCUAAAAACCCCGACUUUUGGAGGGGUGUAUUUAUUAGAUAAAAAACCAAUGCCCUUCGGGGCUCCUUGGUGAUUCAUAAUAACUUAACGAAUCGCAUGGCCUUGUGCCGGCGAUGGUUCAUUCAAAUUUCUGCCCUAUCAACUUUCGAUGGUUAGGUCUUGGCUAACCAUGGUUUCAACGGGUAACGGGGAAUUAGGGUUCUAUUCCGGAGAGUGAGCCUGAGAAACGGCUAACACAUCCAAGGAAGGCAGCAGGCGCGCAAAUUACCCAAUCCCGACACGGGGAGGUAGUGACAAUAAAUACUGAUCCAGGGCUCUUUUGGGUCUUGGAAUUGGAAUGAGUACAAUUUAAAUCCCUUAACGAGGAACAAUUGGAGGGCAAGUCUGGUGCCAGCAGCCGCGGUAAUUCCAGCUCCAAUAGCGUAUAUUAAAGUUGUUGCAGUUAAAAAGCUCGUAGUUGAACCUUGGGUCUGGCUGGCCGGUCCGCCUCACCGCGUGUACUGGUCCGGCCGGACCUUUCCUUCUGGGGAAUCGCAUGCCCUUCACUGGGUGUGUCGAGGAUCCAGGACUUUUACUUUGAAAAAAUUAGAGUGUUCAAAGCAGGCCUAUGCUCGAAUACAUUAGCAUGGAAUAAUAGAAUAGGACGUGUGGUUCUAUUUUGUUGGUUUCUAGGACCGCCGUAAUGAUUAAUAGGGAUAGUCGGGGGCAUCAGUAUUCAAUUGUCAGAGGUGAAAUUCUUGGAUUAAUUGAAGACUAACUACUGCGAAAGCAUUUGCCAAGGAUGUUUUCAUUAAUCAGUGAACGAAAGUUAGGGGAUCGAAGACGAUCAGAUACCGUCGUAGUCUUAACCAUAAACUAUGCCGACUAGGGAUCGGGCGAUGUUACUUUUUUGACUCGCUCGGCACCUUACGAGAAAUCAAAGUC
This 1023-nucleotide ribosomal RNA is filed under the name Tetracladium psychrophilum. Its description in RNAcentral is "SSU rRNA". It matches the Rfam family "Eukaryotic small subunit ribosomal RNA", at positions 74 to 1105 of the family's 1831-position model. The record is from RNAcentral. Lineage: Eukaryota; Fungi; Ascomycota; Leotiomycetes; Helotiales.